Molecule: ribosomal RNA, 484 nt
Filed under: uncultured bacterium
Lineage: Bacteria
Description: partial 16S ribosomal RNA
Rfam family: Bacterial small subunit ribosomal RNA
Source: RNAcentral
AUUGAACGCUGGCGGCAUGCUUUACACAUGCAAGUCGAACGGCAGCGCGGGCUUCGGCCUGGCGGCGAGUGGCGAACGGGUGAGUAAUGCAUCGGAACGUGCCCAGUAGUGGGGGAUAGCUCGGCGAAAGCCGGAUUAAUACCGCAUACGACCUGAGGGUGAAAGCGGGGGAUCUUCGGACCUCGCGCUAUUGGAGCGGCCGAUGGCAGAUUAGCUAGUUGGUGGGGUAAAGGCCUACCAAGGCGACGAUCUGUAGCUGGUCUGAGAGGACGACCAGCCACACUGGGACUGAGACACGGCCCAGACUCCUAAGGGAGGCAGCAGUGGGGAAUUUUGGACAAUGGGCGAAAGCCUGAUCCAGCAAUGCCGCGUGUGUGAUGAAGGCCUUCGGGUUGUAAAGCACUUUUGGCGGGAACGAAAAGGACUGUGCCAAUACCACGGUUCGAUGACGGUACCCGCAGAAUAAGCACCGGCUAACUACGUG